This 496-nucleotide long non-coding RNA is filed under the name Chloebia gouldiae (Gouldian finch). RNAcentral describes it as "Erythrura gouldiae (Gouldian finch) lncRNA (ENSEGOG00005014049.1)". The record is from RNAcentral. Lineage: Eukaryota; Metazoa; Chordata; Aves; Passeriformes; Passeridae.
AAGUAAUUUGCUGAGAAGAACUGGCUUGUUGAGUUGUAGGACAUAAGAAUCAUCUUGUUUCAGAGUUUCCCAACAUCAUUAGCAUACUCUGAAAAUUAGUACAAGGUUGAUAUUUCCAGCUGCCUGCGAGGUUCUGUUGUGCGAGACAUAUCCUGAAGAAGUGGUCAUUGUGCCAUCAUGGGCACUGCUCAUCCUAUAGAGCGCAGAAGGCUGGAGGAUCAGUCCCGGGCUUCCUCUGCCCUGUGUCCUGGAGCUGGGCUUUGGCGUGAUGCUGCUGUUCCUGCUGGUUUGCCUCGGGCAAUCGGCCUCACUGCUUCCCAGAGAGAGCCUUCUGCGGUCUGCACAUCCCAAACAAUCAGCAGUACUAUUUGCUUAUGGGAUUCCUCCCUGCAUAUCUCCCUGUACUGUUUGCUCACCCAAGCCAUUAACCCCUUGCUUUGCUGAGAAUCACAUGAGGGAACUGAACUCUUCAAAAUAAAUCUCUGAGACAAAAACA